UGUAGAGCAAAUUAGGCCAGCCACUGACACUUAGUUUUAUUAUUCUCCUCCAUAUUGUGCAUCAAGCAGUAAGGAAGCAUUAGCAAUAAAAAUGUAGGUGCAAAAUAUCCCAUAAUUUUGGAUUAAUUUAGCUGUCACUGUCAGUCAUAUCAUUCCAAUUCUAUUAUGAAAUUAAACUUUCUUUUACUAAAGCCUGCUUCUGUUAAUGCCAAUGGUUAAACUUUAGGUGGAACACCAUAUUGUGGAAUGACAUGUGCAGAACUAUAUGAAAAACUCCCUCAAGGGUACCGACUGGAAAAGCCUCUCAACUGUGACGAUGAAGUGUACGACCUAAUGAGACAGUGCUGGAAAGAGAAACCAUAUGAAAGACCAUCAUUUGCUCAGAUACUGGUGUCACUGAACAGGAUGUUAGAAGACAGAAAGACCUAUGUGAAUACCACCCUAUACGAGAAAUUUACUUAUGCAGGCAUUGAUUGCUCCGCUGAAGAAGCUGCUUAAGACGGGACAGAUCUUCAUUCAUCAGUGAUUGAUUACAGAAAACCAAACUUCAAUCUGCUGGAGCCCAAAAUGUGAUGUGCUGUGUAGAACUGUGUAUAGCUCUAACUAUAUAUAACACAGCAAUUCCGUUUCACCACAGUGAUGUGUGUGUAUCACACAG
Long non-coding RNA from Oenanthe melanoleuca, 658 nucleotides. RefSeq lists it as uncharacterized. The record is from RefSeq and is a predicted model, not a curated record. Lineage: Eukaryota; Metazoa; Chordata; Aves; Passeriformes; Muscicapidae. The transcript is spliced from 3 exons.